UCGAGUACCUGGUUCUCAACCUCCCGGAUCCCGCGCUUCGGGUCCGCUUCCAGGUGCAACUCGAGUUCCAGGACAAGCGCUCCGUAGUUUUGGAUGUCCAGGUUUUCGACCUGGUGACUUUUGACUUUCAGGACUAAUGUUUCAUAGUUCUGGCUGUCAAGGUCCUCCAUCUGAUGGACCUUGACCUCCAGGAUAAGCGCUCGAUAGAUCUUGCUGUCCAGGUCCUUGACCUAAUGACUUUCGACCUUCCGGACUAAUUUUCAAGUUUACAAGUUUUAUUAUUGAAAACGUCAUGUUUUGUACUAUCAAACCAAUAUGCAUGCUUCAGAUAACAUUCUGAAUCAGUCAAAAACCGGAUGACCAGGAUCAAGAAAUUGCAAUUGAUUUGGUUUGCGUCACGUGCACAAAGACAGUGUUCAUUCUGUGUACUGUGAAGCAAAUACCAGAAUUCUUUGGAGAGUCCAUCGUGCCCCAGUCUCCCCUACAACUAUGUCAUCUCGUAAAACACCGACAACGAGUAAGUGAGCGCACAAGUGCAAAAACCAGUUGCAGUAGGUAUCCGACCCCGAUCGAGCUUUAACGAGCGAAUGUUUUAAUACUGGUGAAUAACUAAUCAAUUGUGCGACCUUCCGUGAACAAGAUUAAUUCUACAUUCAAACUCGCGACAUAUCGGCAAGAUUAUUGUGAAAUGGUUUAUAUUUUGAUCACAUACAAUCCUCGGAAUUGAUAAUAUCUUAAUCGGUUCUCGCCAGCGGUGGGACAAAGCAGCGGAUGCAUCUCUUUGCGAAGGGUUAACUCGGGCCGAGUACGUGACAAGAAUGUGACGUGGAACUCGUCGCUGGAAGAACGUAUUUAAUAAAUUACGAAUGCUUGGUAUUAUCUAGUCAAAUACUUUUGGCGAUAUUUAUUAUAUAUGUCGGCGCGAGAAGCCGGCAGCCUCACCGCUUGACGCUCGUAACUGUCGUAGUGCUUUUGUUUUGAUUUAGACCACACGAGUAUUGUUAUUAAGUUCCGAUCUUCGUAAUGUAGCAGGGGUGGGUAAGGUAUCUAACUCGAAUCCUAAAGUUUACCUUGGGGAAGUCGAGAGACGAGAGAGCAGUGAUAGUCAGAGGCUCGAGCGUGAAGGACCGAGAGCGUCUCGAAAUCCCCACACACCUACCCGCUGCUACAUUAGUGUUAGUUUUUUUUGAAGAAGAAUAAAAGAAGAGAGAAAAAUCA
This 1218-nucleotide long non-coding RNA is filed under the name Neodiprion lecontei (redheaded pine sawfly). RNAcentral describes it as "uncharacterized LOC124293892". The record is from RNAcentral. Lineage: Eukaryota; Metazoa; Arthropoda; Insecta; Hymenoptera; Diprionidae.